GACGAACGCUGGCGGCGCGCCUAACACAUGCAAGUCGAACGAGCGAGAGUAGAGCUUGCUUCUCGAGCGAGUGGCGAACGGUGAGUAACGCGUGAGGAACCUGCCUCAAAGAGGGGACAACAGUUGGAAACGACUGCUAAUACCGCAUAAGCCCACGACCUGGCAUCGGGUUGAGGGAAAAGGAGCAAUCCGCUUUGAGAUGGCCUCGCGUCCGAUUAGCUAGUUGGUGAGGUAACGGCCCACCAAGGCGACGAUCGGUAGCCGGACUGAGAGGUUGAACGGCCACAUUGGGACUGAGACACGGCCCAG
This 309-nucleotide ribosomal RNA is filed under the name uncultured bacterium. RNAcentral's name for it is "bacterial SSU rRNA". It matches the Rfam family "Bacterial small subunit ribosomal RNA", at positions 28 to 334 of the family's 1533-position model. The record is from RNAcentral.